This 335-nucleotide unclassified non-coding RNA is filed under the name Hevea brasiliensis (rubber tree). The record is from RNAcentral. Lineage: Eukaryota; Viridiplantae; Streptophyta; Magnoliopsida; Malpighiales; Euphorbiaceae.
AUCAAUGGCUACCGAUUUCUCGUUUGAACAACCCAGCGAUGAAGAAGUUGAAUAUGAGGAGAAUGAUGACAGUGAAGAAGAAGAACAUGAAGUGGAUGAAGAUAAUGAAGAUGCCGACCCCAAACCUCGAACGAAUAAGAAGCCGCAAUCUCCAUGGGACUUCUCUUCUUACUCUGAAUCCGUUGCUGAUGAACACAGCCACCGUAGAACAACUUCAAUUGAUUUCAAAAUAUCUAAGGCUCGUCAACAACUCUCUGCUCCUAUAGCUAAACCAAUCGAGGAAGAUUCCGAUUCCGACGAUUCAGAACCUCACCGCCAGGAAGAGUACAGACCCG